This 63-nucleotide transfer RNA is filed under the name Cordylochernes scorpioides. Its description in RNAcentral is "tRNA-Gly". Lineage: Eukaryota; Metazoa; Arthropoda; Arachnida; Pseudoscorpiones; Chernetidae. The record is from RNAcentral.
UGUAAAAAAAAAAUCGAACCCUGGCCGCCCGCGUGGCAGGCGAGCAUUCUACCACUGAACCAC